RNAcentral lists this ribosomal RNA (441 nucleotides) under uncultured bacterium. Its description in RNAcentral is "partial 16S ribosomal RNA". It matches the Rfam family "Bacterial small subunit ribosomal RNA", at positions 338 to 795 of the family's 1533-position model. The record is from RNAcentral.
CCUACGGGGGUCUGCAGUGGGGGAUAUUGCACAAUGGGGGGAACCCUGAUGCAGCGACGCCGCGUGGGUGAAGGAGUGCUUCGGCAUGUAAAGCCCUAUCGGCAGGGAAGAAGCAAGACGGUACCUGACUAAGAAGCCCCGGCUAACUACGUGCCAGCAGCCGCGGGAAUACGUAGGGGGCGAGCGUUAUCCGGAUUCACUGGGUGGAAAGGGAGCGUAGACGGCCGUGCAAGCCAGGGGUGAAAGCCGGGGGCCCAACCCCGGGAAUGCCCUUGGAACUGCAUGGCUGGAGUGCGGGAGGGGCAGGCGGAAUUCCUGGUGUAGCGGUGAAAUGCGUAGAGAUCAGGAGGAACACCGGCGGCGAAGGCGGCCUGCUGGACUGCGACUGACGUUGAGGCUCGAAAGCGUGGGGAGCGAACAGGAUUAGAUACCCUUGUAGUC